GAUGAACGCUGGCUACAGGCUUAACACAUGCAAGUCGAGGGGAAACGACGGGGAAGCUUGCUUCCCCGGGCGUCGACCGGCGCACGGGUGAGUAACGCGUAUCCAACCUGCCUCUGACUGAGGGAUAACCCGUCGAAAGUCGGCCUAAUACCUCAUGGCAUCGUCUGCGGGCAUCCAACGACGCUUAAAGAUUUCAUCGGUCAGAGAUGCGCCCGCGUCCGCGUAGCUUCGUGGCGGGGUAACGGCCCACCAAGGCGACGAUCAGUAGGGGUUCUGAGAGGAAGUUCCCCCACAUUGGAACUGAGACACGGUCCAAACUCCGACGAUGUGCAGCAGUGAGGAAUAUUGGUCAAGCUGCGAGAGCCUGGACCAGCCGAGUAGCGUGCAUGAUGAGGUCCCUAUGGGUUGUAAACUGCUUUGAUGCGGGGAUAGGGUGAGGGACGUGUCCUUACUUGCAGGUACCGCAUGAAUAAGGACCGGCUAAUUCCGUG
This 491-nucleotide ribosomal RNA is filed under the name uncultured bacterium. RNAcentral describes it as "partial 16S ribosomal RNA". It matches the Rfam family "Bacterial small subunit ribosomal RNA", at positions 28 to 507 of the family's 1533-position model. The record is from RNAcentral.